CAGAGGUCAGAGGUGAAAGGUUACUCACCUGGAGGGAAGAAAGUUGGGAGAAAGUUUGCAGAACGAUAAUAUUUUCAGGAAGCGGAAAAAAAAGAACAUGAAUAGCGGAGAAAAGUUGCAAAAUUGACCACAAUAAACUGACCACCGUGAGUUUAAUGCAUGCACCUGUCGACGGGAGGAGCAGCGCGAGGACAUGAUGAGGAAGGAGAUGCUAACUCGCUAACAGCACCUGCUUCAUAACGAGGCUACUGACUGAAACAAUGAUACUUCGUAUGAGUGUGGCACUCUGUACCUGGGAUGAUCUGUUGAGUUUUUCUCCAAAGUCUGGCUGUGAGGAGAGGAUGAGAAGCACCCUUGUUCUGCAGUUUCCAGGAAAAGCGGCGAGGUUCUCAAGGGGACAGGGUUCCUCAGCUGCCCGGAUGAAGAAUAAACUCGUUUUUAAACACUCUUAACCUGUCAUUUGUCC
This is a long non-coding RNA of Trematomus bernacchii (emerald rockcod), 466 nucleotides long. RefSeq lists it as uncharacterized. The transcript is spliced from 3 exons. The record is from RefSeq and is a predicted model, not a curated record. Lineage: Eukaryota; Metazoa; Chordata; Actinopteri; Perciformes; Nototheniidae.